UACAGAGGGUGCGAGCGUUGUCCGGAAUCAUUGGGCGUAAAGGGUGCGUAGGCGGCGCGGUAAGUCGGGUGUGAAAUCUCGGGGCUUAACUCCGAAACUGCAUUCGAUACUGCCGUGCUUGAGGACUGGAGAGGAGACUGGAAUUUACGGUGUAGCGGUGAAAUGCGUAGAUAUCGUAAGGAAGACCAGUGGCGAAGGCGGGUCUCUGGACAGUUCCUGACGCUGAGGCACGAAGGCCAGGGGAGCAAACGGG
RNAcentral lists this ribosomal RNA (253 nucleotides) under uncultured bacterium. RNAcentral's name for it is "partial 16S ribosomal RNA". It matches the Rfam family "Bacterial small subunit ribosomal RNA", at positions 524 to 776 of the family's 1533-position model. The record is from RNAcentral.